UACGUAGGGAGCAAGCGUUGUUCGGAUUUACUGGGCGUAAAGGGCGCGUAGGCGGCAAAUUAAGUCAGCUGUGAAAUCUCCGAGCUUAACUCGGAACGGUCAGCUGAUACUGCUCUGCUAGAGUGCGGAAGGGGCAAUCGGAAUUCUUGGUGUAGCGGUGAAAUGCGUAGAUAUCGGGAGGAACACCUGUGGCGAAAGCGGCUCACUGGACCACAACUGACGCUGAUGCGCGAAAGCUAGGGGAGCAAACAGG
This 253-nucleotide ribosomal RNA is filed under the name uncultured bacterium. RNAcentral's name for it is "partial 16S ribosomal RNA". It matches the Rfam family "Bacterial small subunit ribosomal RNA", at positions 524 to 776 of the family's 1533-position model. The record is from RNAcentral.